GGAUUAGCUCAGUCGGUAGAGCACCUGAUUCGUAAUCAUGAGGUCGUCGGUUCAAGUCCGACAUC
This 65-nucleotide transfer RNA is filed under the name bovine gut metagenome. It matches the Rfam family "tRNA", at positions 5 to 66 of the family's 71-position model. Rfam says of the family: Transfer RNA (tRNA) molecules are approximately 80 nucleotides in length. Their secondary structure includes four short double-helical elements and three loops (D, anti-codon, and T loops). The record is from RNAcentral.